GUCACUUGAAAGUUCCAGACCUGUACACUAAAAAAUGUCACACGGUUCACUAAAAUUGAAAACUUUUUUUCCUUCUCCGAAUUCCAAGAAUCUGCUGUAGAGACGGAUUUGGACACAAGGGGAAGUAGAUAAUCUCCCACGACAAUUUGCAUAUCUCUCAAGCCAAGUUCAAAUCUCUGAAUUGAACUUACCAGUGACGACGGAAGGGUCGUAAUACCAAAUCAAUCCAAAAAUGGACGUAACUGCACCCACCAAAAUACACGGAUAAACAUCUUUCCUCCAAAUGAAGAGAUCCAACAAAAUGGGACAAACUUCACGGCACGGGGUCAACCUUAACAAUUAAAUAGUAUACGAAAUAAUUAUCACGUGAUCACAAUUUUAUUGACCUUCAUUACCAACCUGUCUUUAAGCAACUCUUCGUUCUGCAAAAGAAAUACAAUGAAAUAAUUAGUAAUAC
Long non-coding RNA from Folsomia candida, 457 nucleotides. RefSeq lists it as uncharacterized. The transcript is spliced from 2 exons. Lineage: Eukaryota; Metazoa; Arthropoda; Collembola; Entomobryomorpha; Isotomidae. The record is from RefSeq and is a predicted model, not a curated record.